Tephrocybe sp. NHM501043 is the source of this 93-nucleotide non-coding RNA. NCBI's taxonomy places the organism in Eukaryota, Fungi, Basidiomycota, Agaricomycetes, Agaricales, Lyophyllaceae. The record is from the annotation of a GenBank genome assembly.
GGGGGCAUAGCUCAGUUGGGAGAGCAGCAGACUGAAGUAUCUUAGCAAUCUUAUGGCUUCUGAAGGUCCCGCGUUCAAUCCGCGGUGCCCCCA